This 332-nucleotide ribosomal RNA is filed under the name uncultured bacterium. Its description in RNAcentral is "bacterial SSU rRNA". It matches the Rfam family "Bacterial small subunit ribosomal RNA", at positions 568 to 898 of the family's 1533-position model. The record is from RNAcentral.
CGCGCAGGCGGUCUGUUAAGUCAGGUGUGAAAUCUCCCGGCUCAACUGGGAGGGUGCACUUGAUACUAACGGGCUAGAGGGGAGUAGAGGGAAGCGGAAUUCCCGGUGUAGUGGUGAAAUGCGUAGAUAUCGGGAGGAACACCAGUGGCGAAGGCGGCUUCCUGGGCUCUACCUGACGCUGAGGCGCGAAAGCGUGGGGAGCGAACCGGAUUAGAUACCUGGGUAGUCCACGCUGUAAACGAUGGACACUAGGCGUGGGGAGUAUCGACCCUUCCUGUGCCGAAGCCAACGCAAUAAGUGUCCCGCCUGGGGAGUACGGCCGCAAGGCUAAA